AACCUGUGGCGCGCUCCGCGGUUCCGGCGCCUGAAGUUUUAGCUGCGGUGGCGGCGGCAGUCGGGACCGACUGCAAGAUGUCAUUUGUCAGAGUGAACCGCUGUGGUCCCCGAGUUGGUGUAAGAAAGACACCGAAAGUAAAGAAGAAGAAAACUUCAGUGAAACAAGAAUGGGAUAAUACCGUGACUGAUCUAACCGUUCAUCGGGCAACUCCCGAAGAUCUGGUACGCCGUCAUGAAAUACACAAAUCGAAGAAUAGAGCAUUAGUACACUGGGAACUCCAAGAAAAAGCUUUGAAGAGAAAAUGGAGGAAGCAGAAACCAGAAACUUUAAAUCUUGAGAAAAGAAGAUUGUCUAUCAUGAAGGAGAUUCUUUCUGAUCAAUACCAGAUGCAAGAUGUGUUGGAGAAAUCUGAUCAUCUAAUAGCUGCAGCAAAAGAGCUGUUUCCUCGUAGGCGCACAGGGUUUCCAAAUGUAACAGUGGCUCCUGAUUCCUCUCAGGGUCCCAUUGUGGUAAAUCAAGACCCUAUCACCCAAUCUAUCUUUAAUGAGUCUGUCAUAGAACCUCAGGCUCUUAAUGAUGUAGAUGGUGAAGAAGAAGGAACUGUUAAUAGCCAGUCAGGAGAAAGUGAGAAUGAGAAUGAGUUGGAUAACUCUCUAAACUCUCAGUCUAACACGAAUACAGACAGGUUUCUCCAACAACUAACAGAAGAGAAUUUUGAGUUAAUUAGUAAGUUGUGGACUGACAUUCAGCAGAAAAUAGCAACCCAGUCACAAAUAACUCCUCCAGGAACGCCAUCAUCUGCUCUUUCAUCAGGGGAGCAAAGAGCUGCUCUGAAUGCUACCAAUGCUGUCAAGAGACUCCAAACCAGGCUUCAGCCUGAAGAAUCUACUGAGACUCUAGACUCAAGCUACGUUGUGGGACACGUGCUGAACUCAAGGAAGCAAAAACAGCUGUUAAAUAAAGUGAAAAGGAAACCGAAUUUGCAUGCUCUUUCCAAGCCGAAGAAAAACAUAUCAUCAGGUAGCACAACCUCUGCAGACUUACCAAAUAGGACUAAUUCCAACCUGGAUGUCCUCAAACACAUGAUACAUGAAGUGGAACAUGAAAUGGAAGAAUAUGAGCGGUGGACAGGUCGCGAGGUCAAGGGUCUGCAGAGCAGUCAGGGUCUUACAGGCUUCACUUUGUCGCUGGUGAGCUCCCUCUGUCGCCUGGUUCGGUACCUUAAAGAGAGUGAGAUCCAGCUACGUAAAGAAGUAGAGACAAGGCAACAACUGGAACAAGUAUUAGGUGAUCAUCGAGAGCUCAUUGAUGCUCUGACAGCUGAAAUUCUUCGUCUUAGAGAAGAAAACGCUGCUACACAGGCAAGACUUCAGCAGUACAUGGUCACAACAGAUGAGCAACUGAUAUCACUCACACAUGCUAUUAAGAACUGUCCUGUGAUAAAUAACAGACAAGAAAUUCAGGCAUCAGAAAGCGGAGCCACAGGUAGAAGAGUUAUGGACAGUCCAGAGCGUCCAGUUGUAAAUGCCAAUGUCUCAGUGCCAUUGAUGUUCAGAGAGGAAGUGGCUGAAUUCCCACAGGAAGAGUUGCCCGUUAAACUGUCUCAGGUGCCAGACCCUCCAGAUAACAUGAAUCUGGCCAAGAAUUUUCCAGCACAUAUUUUUGAGCCAGCUGUGUUGUUAACACCACCCAGGCAGAAGAGCAACUUAAAAUUCUCUCCUCUUCAGGACGUAUUGAGAAGGACUGUUCAAACUCGUCCUGCUCCACGACUUCCUCCAACUGUGGAAAUAAUUGAGAAGGAACAAAAUUGGGAAGAGAAGACCUUACCUAUUGAUACAGACAUUCAGAAUUCAAGUGAAGAGAAUCGUCUCUUCACUCAGAGAUGGAGAGUCUCUCACAUGGGAGAAGAUUUGGAGAACAAAACUCAGGCUCCUUUUGUUAACCUCUCACAGCCCCUCUGCAAUUCCCAUUCCAACACUCAACAGUCAAGAAGCCCCACAUUCUCAGAAGAGCUCCCAGUACUGGGAGAUGGGCAGCAGCUGAGAACAAAUGAGUCAUUAAUACAAAGAAAGGACAUAAUGACACGAAUUGCUGAUUUGACAUUGCAGAAUUCAGCUAUCAAGGCACAUAUGAAUAAUAUUAUUGAGCCCAGAGGAGAGCAAGGGGAUGGACUCCGGGAGUUGAACAAACAAGAAAGUGCAAGUGACAUGACUUCUACUUUUCCAGUAGCACAGUCUCUAACACCAGGUAGUAUGGAGGAACGGAUUGCAGAAUUGAAUCGACAAAGUAUGGAGGCUCGUGGAAAACUACUGCAGUUGAUAGAGCAGCAGAAACUUGUUGGUUUGAAUCUUUCUCCACCAAUGUCACCUGUUCAGUUACCUCUCAGAGCAUGGACUGAAGGAGCAAAGAGGACAAUUGAGGUAUCUAUUCCAGGAGCAGAAGCCCCAGAAAGCUCAAAAUGUAGUACUGUCUCUCCCGUCAGCGGGAUAAAUACAAGAAGAUCUUCCGGGGCUACUGGUAAUUCUUGUUCUCCACUAAAUGCCACCUCAGGAAGUGGGAGAUUCACACCUCUUAAUCCAAGAGCAAAGAUUGAGAAACAGAAUGAAGAAGGCUGGUUUGCUCUUUCUACCCAUGUAUCAUAAGUGAAGUCAAGUCUCACUGAUCAUUGCUGUUCAUCACUUUUUCCAUCAAGUGAAAUAUACAGCCUUAAAAACAAUAGGCCUGGGAGUGUUUGUUUAUAUUUGCUUAAGCAGUGUCAUGAGGCGGAGAAGGCCCGACCAAAGGGCGGAUAGGUACCGGGUUCCCGGAGAGCUGGACGCCGGCCGCGCAUGCGCCCCACGGCCCGCCCUGGUUCCGCCUCCCUGGAAGAGGGGUGGCGUUGUCUCGGUAACCGGAGUAAACGGAGGCCUCCGGCAGACGCUGUGAAGAGAGGAGCCGCGGCGGUCAGUACCUUCGAGGAAAUGAAGGAACCAGAUGAUCAGGAUACUGAUGGGGAGAAAUCAGUUACAUCAAAGAGUGAUGGGAAGAAGUCUCUGAGGUCUUCUAAAUCAGAAUCAAGAUCUCCUGUUCAAGAAGAUAACACAUUUUUAGAAGAUGACACAGAUGAAACAUUUACCAAAGGGGAAGGAUCAUAUUUAGAAGAAGACUCAGAUGAGGAACGUUUGGAAGGAAGUUUGAGUUCAUUUCAGUAUGGUGAUUUGCAAAGCACUACAGUACCUCAGCAAACCCCUGCUCCAGCUGUGGAAGAAGCAGAGGAGGAAGUUAAGAAGAAAAUAUCAGAGAGCUUCUUCUAUGAUUAUAUGGAGCUUGCUUCGAUGCCUUUUGUGACUCUGGAUUCAAACAUACCACUGGAUCUUCUCACACUUGUGUAUCCACCCUGGCUAAAUAUGUAUAAUUUUGGGAUUUUCAUUUCUUAGGUCAGAGGUCAGCAAACUAUAGCCCAGGGAGCCCAAAUGUGCCUUCCCACCUGUUUUGGUAAAUCAAGUUUUAUUGCAACACAGCCACAUCCAUUUGCUUACAUUUUGUUUAUUAUGGCUGCCAUCACACAACAAGGACAGGGAUAAGUAGUUGUGACAGAGACCAUCUGGCUCACAAGGCAAAAACUAUUUACUACCUUCCCUUUAUAAAAAAAUGUGUGCCAACCCAUAUUAGGUAAUUCUAAGAAGCUUGAAUUCUUAGAGAUUUGAUAGAAAUGCAUGAUCUUAAUUUAAACUAAGCUUUUGUUUGAUGCCAAAUAACCAUACAGAGAAAUAUUUUUUCUGGCUGUCCUUUGCACAAGUGGAAAGGCUGCAGUUCAUGAGAUCUGAGUGAAGGAAAUCAGAAGGCUUCUUCUUCCCAUUUACUUUUGUCAGUGCCUGUCAAGUUACAUAAUCAAUUUCCCUUCUUGAAACACUUAUGUGUCUGUCCAUUGUAAGGCAUUAGUACUUUCACAUUAUAUAUCAGAUGAGCUAUCAGAGAAGACAAUUCUUAGGAAACAGGGCACAAAAUAUAAAGUUUUAAUUGGUUUGGAGAAUAAGAGUCUUUUAAGAUAUGUAGAAACAGGAUGAUUGACAAGGGGAUUUUGUGUUCGUCAUCACAUUAUGAUGUUAGGUUUGCAAUGCGGGUAGUUAGAAAACAGUUUUCAUUGAGGUCCUUAGCUGGCAAUGUACUGUGCUUCCCUUUUGGAUAGUUAGUACUUAUCACCACGUGGCCUAAACCACCAACUGGCCUCUUACAUAAGGAAUACUUACAGAGAUAGGGUGGUGUACUCCCUGACUCAGUUUUGCUUUUUACAUAAAAACAUAAAAAUAGAACAUGUUGUUAAAUCCCAGGUGUAACUAAAUUAAUUCGUGCUGAUUUAUCUUGUAACCUGGAAUUUUCUCUCUUCAUGGCUUUUUUUUUCCUUAUCUUUGGACAAGUUUCUGACAAAAGUUAUGCUGUUUGCUUUCUUUUAGCCUUUUUUUCCCAAAUGGGAUGGGGUGGUAUAUUAGAGUCCCCUGGAAGUUUUUCCUAAAGUACACAAUGCUCUGAUGCCUUCCGGGACCUACUGUGCUAGUUCUUUGUGGAGAGGGACUUGGGAAUAUGUACUCUGAAGAAACUCCGAGUUGGUUUGGCAGUGCACUGCCUUCUCACUGCUCCAGGAUGGGAGGGUCUGUAUUAGACAAAUAUGCCUAAAUUCUAAACAUCAGAGUCAGAAGAACCUUAACUUUUAUUCCAAUAUAUGAAUUAUCUCUAUUCGUGCUGGAUGGGUGGCUGUAUAAACUAUAGCCUUUUCUUAAACAUUUUCAACACCAGGAAAAUCACAAAGUAGCUUACCCCACUUUUGGACGGCUCACUAGAGAGCUUUUUGGGCCUUGAAUAAAAUUCUGCCUUGCUGGGAUGGCCCCCAUUAGAUUUAGUUCUCCUCUCUGCAGAUGGACAUAUAUAAUCUCUAUAUCUUGUGAGGAAUUCUAGGAAGAACAAGUCAGCCAUCAGGUAUUCCCUAAGUACUCUUUUAAUUAACCCUUUAAUGAUUAUUAGUAUAUUAUAUUGAUUCUACUUCAGUUUUUGCUUUUUUGUUUUGUUCUGUUUUGUUUUGAGAUGGAGUCUUGCUCUGUCGUCCAGGCUGGAGUGCAAUGGCACGAUCUCUGCUUACUGCAACCUCCGCCUGCCGGGUUCAAGCAAUUCUCCUGCCUCAGCCUCCCGAGUAGCUGGGACUAUAGGCAUGCACCACCACAUCCAGCUAAUUUUUGUAUUUUUAGUAGAGAUUGGGUUUCACCAUAAUGGCCAGGCUGGUCUCGAACUCCUGACCUCGUGAUCUGCCCGCCUUGGCCUCCCAAAAUGCUGGGAUUACAGGUGUGAGCCACCGCGCCUAGCCCUCUACUUCAGUUUUUAAAUUUAUGUCUUCUAAAUUUUAGCAAUGUUAAAUCAAGUUUAGCCUAAAGCUGCCUCCUUACAUACUUUAAGUUCAGCCUCCAGGUUUCUCUGUACAUGGUGAACUAUAACCUAAAGGGAGUUAGACUCUAGCCUACUCUUGAGCCAGUUACUGAGUUGUGGUCAAAGGUGGCCAACUGUUCAAACUGUGUUAAAAUAAGGCAGAUGCCAAGCUGUAACCAAUUCGGCUAUUUCUGUACCUCACUUUCGUUUUCUGUAUGUCACUUUCCUUUUUCAGUCCAUAAAUCUUCCUGCACGUGGCUGUGCUGGAGUCUCUGGGCCUACUCUGGCUCAGAAGGCUGCCGAAUUCUUGAAUGGUUCUUUGCUCAAUUAAACUCUGUUAAAUUUAA
Molecule: long non-coding RNA, 5744 nt
Filed under: Homo sapiens (human)
Lineage: Eukaryota; Metazoa; Chordata; Mammalia; Primates; Hominidae
Description: SPICE1-CFAP44 readthrough (NMD candidate), transcript variant 12 (SPICE1-CFAP44)
Source: RNAcentral